Molecule: non-coding RNA, 1118 nt
Organism: Xyrichtys novacula (pearly razorfish)
Lineage: Eukaryota; Metazoa; Chordata; Actinopteri; Labriformes; Labridae
Source: the annotation of a GenBank genome assembly
CGCGCUCGCACGCCCAGGAGUCCAGGUGUAGGUGUUGAAUGGCGACACCUAUCGACCGGAGGUUAUUUAUUUUAAAUUUUUUUUUUACUUCAGCUGCAGUGCUGCAGGACACAAGGAAAUAAAACGCAAGCGUGAACUAACCGGUCAAUCUUUGACAUUCAAAAGAACGGUAAAUUGCUGUUUACAUUUACCUUGAUCGUGACGACCAGAAAGAAGUGCUGAUAAGUUCUCAGUGGUGCCGCCGUAAGCUUACCCUUUCACCAUAAUUUGCCUUUCAAGUAUCAGUUUCCUGUUUAAUAUAAGCAUUAGCUCCUUUGAGGAAGGCCACCGUUAGUUGUUCACCAAUACUGUCGAUGCGGGUAACGUUAAGUGUAACAGACUAUUUCCAGACAAAUAAAAAAAGGAUUUCAAUCUAUAAAAAAAACUUGAAAAUAAAUAUUUGUCGCAGAAAUGGUUUAUUAAGAAGUCAUGCAAGGAAAUUGAUUAUGCAUAGUAAGUAGUUUGUUACACUUCGAGAGGGCCCUUGUGCUUGUCAGGGUUCAAAUUUGCUAAAACAACCCACUCACUAAAGACUGUCCCUUACACCAGUCUGAAUCCCUAAAGGAUUUUCCUUACUGUUAACUCUUGACCUUGAAAUAAACAAAAGCAAAACCUGAAACACUAUGAUCCACCAGGCAGAGAAAGAUACUUUGUGUUGUAGGUAUGUUUGCAUGUUGGUCUAGUUGAGUAAAAAGGCCUAUUUUUUAACCUAAUAUGCAGUGUCAAGUGCACUUCCGUGCCAUCACUGAGCCUACCCUCAUUUUCUCUUCCACUAUCUGGUGCAGCCCUGCCACAGCCAAGGAUGAAGGUGAUCCUCAAAGCUCCCACACAAAGGCCCAGCACCCUCUCUGACAACAUCUUUUUUACACAGCGAGCCCUUACAUUCAAACUCAGAGCAGCAUGUUUACAGACACUGCUUAUGUUUUUACACCCUGGACAUUUUGGACAGUUCUCCUGUUCCUGUCACCCUAUAUGCAUCUGUCUACUGUAUGUUUCUUGGAAAGGAUGAACUGUAAAUGGGAAUUUCCCCUUGUGGGACUAUUAAAGGAGUAUCUUAUGAUCUUCUAGCGCUAUUUGUU